UUGAAAGGGAAACGAUUGAAGUCAGUCGUACCGGUGGGUAAUCAGCCUUUUGGGCGUGAUUAUGUGGAGCGUGAGGAGCUAAUCACCUUCAUGCCUGCGUAUUCGUGCACUUUGGGUGUACUUGCCCGCAUGGUUGGUUAACAUCAAUUUCGGAAGCCAUAAAAUGGUUGGAGGAAUGUGGCUUCGACCUCGGUUGAAGUGUUAUAGCCUUUAGCAGAUGUGGUGAUCGAGAUUGAGGAUUGCAACGGAUACCCUUCGGGGCUACCUGUCUGAUCUCUGAUCGUUACUCUGGUGCCGAAAGCGUGCUUACGGUCAUC
Molecule: ribosomal RNA, 317 nt
Filed under: uncultured Glomeromycotina
Lineage: Eukaryota; Fungi; Glomeromycota
Description: eukaryotic LSU rRNA
Source: RNAcentral